UGGGGAAUAUUGCACAAUGGGCGCAAGCCUGAUGCAGCCAUGCCGCGUGUAUGAAGAAGGCCUUCGGGUUGUAAAGUACUUUCAGUCGGGAGGAAGGUGUCAAGGUUAAUAACCUUGGCAAUUGACGUUACCGACAGAAGAAGCACCGGCUAACUCCGUGCCAGCAGCCGCGGUAAUACGGAGGGUGCAAGCGUUAAUCGGAAUUACUGGGCGUAAAGCGCACGCAGGCGGUUGAUUGAGUCAGAUGUGAAAUCCCCGGGCUUAACCCGGGAAUUGCAUCUGAUACUGGUCAGCUAGAGUCUUGUAGAGGGGGGUAGAAUUCCAUGUGUAGCGGUGAAAUGCGUAGAGAUGUGGAGGAAUACCGGUGGCGAAGGCGGCCCCCUGGACAAAGACUGACGAUCAGGUGCGAAAGCGUGGGGAGCAAACAGG
RNAcentral lists this ribosomal RNA (429 nucleotides) under Chloroflexota bacterium. RNAcentral's name for it is "Chloroflexi bacterium partial 16S ribosomal RNA". It matches the Rfam family "Bacterial small subunit ribosomal RNA", at positions 355 to 776 of the family's 1533-position model. Lineage: Bacteria; Bacillati; Chloroflexota. The record is from RNAcentral.